GACGAACGCUGGCGGCGUGCUUAACACAUGCAAGUCGAACGGAAAGGCCCCUUUGGGGGUACUCGAGUGGCGAACGGGGGCGUAACACGUGAGUAACCUGCCCUUGACUUCGGGAUAACUUCAGGAAACUGGGGCUAAUACCGGUUAGGAAUCCUUGCUUCAUGGGGGGGGUUGGAAAGCUUCGGCGGUUUUGGAUGGACUCGCGGCUUAUCAGCUUGUUGGUGGGGUAGUGGCUUACCAAGGCUUCGACGGGUAGCCGGCCUGAGAGGGCGACCGGCCACAUUGGGACUGAGAUACGGCCCAGACUCCUACGGGAGGCAGCAGUGGGGAAUAUUGCACAAUGGGCGGAGGCCUGAUGCAGCAACGCCGCGUGCGGGAUGACGGCCUUCGGGUUGUAAACCGAUUUCAGCAGGGGCGAAGCUUGUGGUGACGGUACCUGCAGAAGAAGCACCGGCUAACUACGUG
This 465-nucleotide ribosomal RNA is filed under the name uncultured bacterium. RNAcentral describes it as "partial 16S ribosomal RNA". It matches the Rfam family "Bacterial small subunit ribosomal RNA", at positions 28 to 507 of the family's 1533-position model. The record is from RNAcentral.